This 29-nucleotide ribosomal RNA is filed under the name Oxalis brasiliensis. RNAcentral's name for it is "partial 26S ribosomal RNA". Lineage: Eukaryota; Viridiplantae; Streptophyta; Magnoliopsida; Oxalidales; Oxalidaceae. The record is from RNAcentral.
UGCGACCCCAGGUCAGGCGGGGACUACCC